UGCCUGCCAGUGACCAUGAGUUCAACGGCCGCGGUAUUCUGACCGCGCGAAGGUAGCGUAAUCACUUGUUUUUUAAAUAAAGACUAGUAUGAAUGGCCCCACGAGGACUUAACUGUCUCCCUUGUCCAAUCAGUGAAACUGAUCUCCUCGUGCAGAAGCGAGGAUUUUCCCAUAAGACGAGAAGACCCUAUGGAGCUUCAAACUAAAUCAACUAUUGUCAUCUGCCCUCCAAGGACCCAAUAAAUAGCUAAAUAUGCUGAUUUAAGUUUUAGGUUGGGGCGACCAUGGAGAAAAAGAAAUCCUCCCUGAUGACCACAAACUAAGAGCUACUACUCUAAGUAUUAAGACACUUAACUCUAAUUGACCCAUUUUAUGAUCAACGAACCAAGUUACCCUAGGGAUAACAGCGCAAUCCAUUUCAAGAGUCCUUAUCGACAAAUGGGUUUACGACCUCGAUGUUGGAUCAGGGCGUCCAAGUGGUGCAACCGCUACUAAUGGUUCGUUUGUUCAACGAUUAAAGCCCUACGUGAUCG
Molecule: ribosomal RNA, 533 nt
Filed under: Megophrys chuannanensis (Chuanan short-legged toad)
Lineage: Eukaryota; Metazoa; Chordata; Amphibia; Anura; Megophryidae
Description: partial 16S ribosomal RNA
Rfam family: Bacterial large subunit ribosomal RNA
Source: RNAcentral